Long non-coding RNA from Drosophila novamexicana, 744 nucleotides. RefSeq lists it as uncharacterized. NCBI's taxonomy places the organism in Eukaryota, Metazoa, Arthropoda, Insecta, Diptera, Drosophilidae. The transcript is spliced from 2 exons. The record is from RefSeq and is a predicted model, not a curated record.
UAAUUCUGCGAAUAUGCAAAUCAUUCGACAACAAUUUCGAGCUGAAAGUGAAAUUUUCUAUUAUCAGUUACUCAGAACACACACACACGCACCCGCACGCAAAGCUGUGUGAGAGGUGGAGAGAGGGAGAGAGAGCUAGAACCAAUGGGCCACUAAUACAGACAUAAAAACGAUCUGCUUAGAUGUUGGCAUAGCAAGCUGUCGUCUUCGUUCGGCUCUACUCGGCUUGAGUCGACUUGUCUUGUGCAGCCUUUGCUUUUGGAGAGAAAGAGAGAGAGGGAGCGGGAGAGGGAGCGGGAGCGGGAGAGCUGGAACCAAUGGGCCAAGUGGGCAUAACAAGCGCUCGGCUUGGCUUGGCUUGAUUCGGCUCGACUCGGCUUGACUCGGCUCGACUCGGCUUGGCUUGUGCAGCCUCGGGCUCUGCUUUUGGGCUUUGCUGCUGGACGCUGAGCGCACCUGUCUCCACAGAAACGCGCGACGCCCGCGCCGUCGAUUAGCGGACGCACCUAGAAGAAGCAGCACACACAACAGCCCCCGCUCGGCAUAUCCCAACGCGAGCCCAUCAAAUUCAGCUUAACGAAGUUCACAGGCACUUGUAAUUGGAUAUGGAUAACGGAUAGCGGAUAACGGAUAAAGGAUAAAACGAAUGAAGAUGUCAUAUGUCAUCACAUUAUGUAUGCCAUUUUCUGACUAGCUGAUUGAAGUUUAGAUCAUGUUUCCAAUUAGAAAACCAAGAAUGUAAAA